Molecule: ribosomal RNA, 499 nt
Filed under: uncultured bacterium
Lineage: Bacteria
Description: partial 16S ribosomal RNA
Rfam family: Bacterial small subunit ribosomal RNA
Source: RNAcentral
AUUGAACGCUGGCGGCAUGCCUUACACAUGCAAGUCGAACGGCAGCACGGGUGCUUGCACCUGGUGGCGAGUGGCGAACGGGUGAGUAAUACAUCGGAACGUACCAUCGUGGGGGAUAACGCAGCGAAAGCUGUGCUAAUACCGCAUACGCCCUGAGGGGGAAAGCGGGGGAUCGAAAGACCUCGCGCGAUUAGAGCGGCCGAUGCCUGAUUAGCUUGUUGGUGGGGUAAAAGCCCACCAAGGCGACGAUCAGUAGCUGGUCUGAGAGGACGAUCAGCCACACGGGGACUGAGACACGGCCCAGACUCCUACGGGAGGCAGCAGUGGGGAAUUUUGGACAAUGGGGGCAACCCUGAUCCAGCAAUGCCGCGUGAGUGAAGAAGGCCUUCGGGUUGUAAAGCUCUUUUGUCAGGGAAGAAACACCGGCUCUAACACAGUCCGGGAAUGACGGUACCUGAAGAAUAAGCACCGGCUAACUACGUGCCAGCAGCCGCCGUAA